CCUACGGGAGGCAGCAGUGGGGAAUAUUGCACAAUGGGGGAAACCCUGAUGCAGCGACGCCGCGUGAGUGAAGAAGUCAUUCGUUAUGUAAAGCUCUAUCAGCAGGGAAGAAAAUUACGGUACCUGAGUAAGAAUCCCCGGUUAACUACGUGCCAGCAGCCGCGGUCACACGUAGGGGGGAAGCGUUAUCCGGAUUUACUGGGUGUAAAGGGGGCGUAGACGGCAGUGCAAGUUUGGAGUGAAAGGCGGGGGCUCAACCCCCGGACUGCUCUGGAAACUGUACGGCUGGAGUGCAGGAGAGGUAAGUGGAAUUCCUAGUGUAGCGGUGAAAUGCGUAGAUAUUAGGAGGAACACCAGUGGCGAAGGCGGCUUACUGGACUGUAACUGACGUUGAGGCUCGAAAGCGUGGGGAGCAAACAGGAUUAGAUACCCGGGUAGUC
This 440-nucleotide ribosomal RNA is filed under the name uncultured bacterium. RNAcentral describes it as "partial 16S ribosomal RNA". It matches the Rfam family "Bacterial small subunit ribosomal RNA", at positions 338 to 795 of the family's 1533-position model. The record is from RNAcentral.